This is a long non-coding RNA of Cyprinus carpio carpio, 671 nucleotides long. NCBI's taxonomy places the organism in Eukaryota, Metazoa, Chordata, Actinopteri, Cypriniformes, Cyprinidae. The record is from Ensembl.
UCUCAGUGAAUUACAAUUAGCCUGUCUUUCUUUUACUUCUCUUUCUUGUAGUCACCUCCUCCCUCCGUACGACAGGGGACUCAUUGAGGUAUUUCUGUUCAACCGCUUGUCAGGGCUGUCCUCUCCAUCAGGAAGCGGUGGGUCUGAUCCAGCCUCAUCAGGCCGCUCCUCCAGGGCUGUGAUUGAGGGCGGGGCAGGGGACUCGCACCAUAUGGCUGACCGAAGCCCCGCAGCCUCCCCAGGGGCGAUGAGAAAGCUCACUCCUGAUCACAGCUCAGAGAGGGAAUCAGAGAGAGAAAGCAAGACAGAAAGAGAAGGAAAAAAAAUAAGCAAGCUGUUCCCUCCGAGAGCCAUUACGAGUAAAGUUAGGGACCCCUCAUCGUCUGGGAGCCGCUCAACAGGCAGCGGCCCAUCCCACUGAGUCCAGCUGUUCAGAGAUGAGCCACCUUGCCAGAAAAUAACCACCCUGACAUUUUGAAUAUGCUUCUGUGGGGCUUAGCAGCACACCAAAUAUUUGCAUGCCUUUUGUCUCCAAAGGCAAAGGAGAUAGGGGAGAGUCAACAGCGUUCUCCUCCUGAGAUAGACACGUCUAAAUGGAGCUCACAUCCCCACACCCCCGACAGGUCUCUCAUCGCCCCAUGAAGCUCACCACCUGGAGGGCCCAGUGAUUG